RNAcentral lists this ribosomal RNA (500 nucleotides) under uncultured bacterium. RNAcentral's name for it is "partial 16S ribosomal RNA". It matches the Rfam family "Bacterial small subunit ribosomal RNA", at positions 28 to 507 of the family's 1533-position model. The record is from RNAcentral.
GACGAACGCUGGCGGCGUGCUUAACACAUGCAAGUCGAACGGGUCUGCCCUGUUUUUUGCGGGGUGGGUCAGUGGCGAACGGGUGAGUAACACGUGAGUAACCUGCCCCUCACUUCUGGAUAACCGCUUGAAAGGGUGGCUAAUACGGGGUGUUCUGGCUGUGCCGCAUGGUGUGGCUGGGAAAGAUUCACUUUUGUGGUGUUUUGGCGGGGGAUGGGCUCGCGGCCUAUCAGCUUGUUGGUGGGGUGAUGGCCUGCCAAGGCUUUGACGGGUAGCCGGCCUGAGAGGGUGGGCGGUCACACUGGGACUGAGAUACGGCCCAGACUCAUGCGGGAGGCAGCAGUGGGGGGUAUUGCACAAUGGGCGGAAGCCUGAUGCAGCGACGUCGCGGGAGGGAUGGAGGCCUUCGGGUUAUGAACCUCUUUCGCCGGUGAAGAAGGUCCUGCUCUUUGUGGUGGGGUUGACGGUAGCCGGGUUAUGAAGCGCCGGCUAACUACGUG